Long non-coding RNA from Ornithorhynchus anatinus (platypus), 1666 nucleotides. RefSeq lists it as uncharacterized. Lineage: Eukaryota; Metazoa; Chordata; Mammalia; Monotremata; Ornithorhynchidae. The transcript has 4 exons. The record is from RefSeq and is a predicted model, not a curated record.
CUGGGUGACUUUGGGCAAGUCACCUAACUUCCCUGUGCCUCAAUCCCCUCAACUGUAAAAUGGGGAAAACUGUUUUCCCUCUCACUUGAUAUGUGAGCCUCGUGGAAGGGGGACUGUGUCCGACCUGCUUCUUAUAACUGCUCCAACACUUUAGUGCACUGCUCAGCACGGCAUAGGUGCUUAACGAAUACCCUGGUUUCUAGUUUGUGGCCGGGAGAGGUGCUCGUCCUGGGUCUGGAAGGAGGUUUCACAGAAAGGAGAAAAAGAGUUGGAGUCUCUGGAUUGAUAUCUUUCUCCUCCCUAGCAAUUAAGCCAAAUGAAUGGCUCACCCUGUGAUAUUUGGAGUGCCAUGCUGGUCUCUGCUCAUCGCGGGUAGUUCAGGACAGAACAAGCCAGGGCAGGAGAGUGGAUUUUAUUGAGAAUGGAAAGAGAAGCAACAGGUGUUACAUACAUUCUGAGGCCUCAUUCUAAACCGGGUUCGUGUGGCCGAAAGGCUCUCUGUGCAAACCCUCCACCAGAACCACAACUUCUUCUCCACUCUCUGGAUCCUGUUCUCUCACCCAGGUCUGGAUGUCCCCCGGCAGGAUGGUCAGGAACUGCUCCAGCACCAGCAGCUCCAGGAUCUGCUCCUUCGUGCGCACCUCGGGCCUCAGCCAGCGACAGCAGAGUUCCCGCAGGCGGCUGAGGGCCUCUCGGGGCCCGGCCACCUCUUGGUAGCAGAACAACCGGAAGAGUUGGCGGAAGGUCUCGGGGCUGGGAUCAUCCCCUUGGGGAGAGGUCUCUUCUCCCCACGAGAAAUCCUCCUCCACCUUGACGAUCAGGAUCUCUUCCUGCUCCAGCGGACUCUGCACGGGCAGGCCCACGGCCGCUGCCAUUGUCUGGGGAUGGGCUCCCUCCGGAUACACCUCGAGCUGGACUCUUGACACCGUUUCUCCUGGGGCGGGGGCUCUGCACGCAGAAAGAGAGAAGGAUGGAAGGUUCGGAUGCAAUGAUGGAGCCCCGACAGUAAGUUCUCCGAGCCCCAGUUGGUGCAACUAAAUGACAACGACUACUGAUGAUUUUGGUGAUGCAGUGGGAGAGCCUAGGCUUCAGGGGCUGAUCGGUGGGGUCAGGGGCUAAUAUGUCUCCCUACACACAUACACACUUUGGGGCUACAGGCUGCUGGCGUUGCUGGCCAAACCUGGCACUCACUGGCCCCUCUUCUUUCCUCCCCCCUUUGCAGAGUGUUGCAAGGAGGUGCCAGGCUAAAACCACCCGUGCAAGCCUGCGGGCGUGCAGCUGACAGCUCCCGGCCACCUCGGGACGGGGAGCGCGUCAGGCUUGAAGCCCACGGGGUCCUGCCCGCCCUGACCCCCAGACUCACCGCCCUGAAGGCCCGGGACUCCGGGGCCCAACGGGCCGAGACCCGACCCUGCGAAGAAGACCGAUUAAGCGGACGCCUCCGCUAAAGCGACUCUCCCCUACCCGAGCUGCUAAUGACACCCCCCUCCAGCCACUUCCGGUUGCUCUCCGAUCCAGAGGUCCGGUGGCGUCAGGGACUAAUCAGUUCCUCCUGUGGAUUCGCUCGCGUGCUCUCGGGCCCGGCCGCCCAUCAACCGGAGGGGCUGCCCGCUCUGGACGAGGGUGGCCCGGUCGGUCUUGCCGGAAUUCCCUUUUCGGGGAGCUG